GGUAAAAUGACUGAUUAAGGUGAUAAAUUGUAAAUUUAUUUAUGAUGAAAAUUCUUUUACUA
This 62-nucleotide transfer RNA is filed under the name Alectorobius amblus. RNAcentral's name for it is "tRNA-Tyr". Lineage: Eukaryota; Metazoa; Arthropoda; Arachnida; Ixodida; Argasidae. The record is from RNAcentral.